AUACGGAGGGGGUUAGCGUUGUUCGGAAUUACGGGGCGUAAAGCGUACGUAGGCGGAUUAGUAAGUUAGGGGUGAAAUCCCGAGGCUCAACCUCGGAACUGCCUCUAAAACUGCUAGUCUAGAGUUCGAGAGAGGUGAGUGGAAUUCCUAGUGUAGAGGUGAAAUUCGUAGAUAUUAGGAGGAACACCAGUGGCGAAGGCGGCUCACUGGCUCGAUACUGACGCUGAGGUACGAAAGUGUGGGGAGCAAACAGGAUUAGAAACCCCAGUAGUCC
This 274-nucleotide ribosomal RNA is filed under the name uncultured bacterium. RNAcentral's name for it is "partial 16S ribosomal RNA". It matches the Rfam family "Bacterial small subunit ribosomal RNA", at positions 523 to 796 of the family's 1533-position model. The record is from RNAcentral.